UCUCAGUUCGGAUUGUAGUCUGCAACUCGACUACAUGAAGCUGGAAUCGCUAGUAAUCGCGAAUCAGAAUGUCGCGGUGAAUACGUUCCCGGGUCUUGUACACACCGCCCGUCACACCAUGGGAGUUGGGAAUGCCCGAAGCCGGUGACCUAACCGAAAGGGAGGAGCCGCCGAAGGCAGGCUUGAUAACUGGGGUGAAGUCGUAACAAGGUAUC
This 215-nucleotide ribosomal RNA is filed under the name uncultured bacterium. RNAcentral's name for it is "partial 16S ribosomal RNA". It matches the Rfam family "Bacterial small subunit ribosomal RNA", at positions 1286 to 1500 of the family's 1533-position model. The record is from RNAcentral.